Molecule: ribosomal RNA, 808 nt
Filed under: uncultured Neisseria sp.
Lineage: Bacteria; Pseudomonadati; Pseudomonadota; Betaproteobacteria; Neisseriales; Neisseriaceae
Description: bacterial SSU rRNA
Rfam family: Bacterial small subunit ribosomal RNA
Source: RNAcentral
UGAACGCUGGCGGCAUGCUUUACACAUGCAAGUCGGACGGCAGCACAGAGAAGCUUGCUUCUUGGGUGGCGAGUGGCGAACGGGUGAGUAAUAUAUCGGAACGUACCGAGCAGUGGGGGAUAACUAAUCGAAAGAUUAGCUAAUACCGCAUAUUCUCUGAGGAAGAAAGCAGGGGGCCAUUUGGCCUUGCGCUGCUUGAGCGGCCGAUAUCUGAUUAGCUGGUUGGUGGGGUAAAGGCCUACCAAGGCGACGAUCAGUAGCGGGUCUGAGAGGAUGAUCCGCCACACUGGGACUGAGACACGGCCCAGACUCCUACGGGAGGCAGCAGUGGGGAAUUUUGGACAAUGGGCGCAAGCCUGAUCCAGCCAUGCCGCGUGUCUGAAGAAGGCCUUCGGGUUGUAAAGGACUUUUGUCAGGGAAGAAAAGGAUAGGGUUAAUACCCCUGUCUGAUGACGGUACCUGAAGAAUAAGCACCGGCUAACUACGUGCCAGCAGCCGCGGUAAUACGUAGGGUGCGAGCGUUAAUCGGAAUUACUGGGCGUAAAGCGGGCGCAGACGGUUACUUAAGCAGGAUGUGAAAUCCCCGGGCUCAACCUGGGAACUGCGUUCUGAACUGGGUGACUAGAGUGUGCCAGAGGGAGGUAGAAUUCCACGUGUAGCAGUGAAAUGCGUAGAGAUGUGGAGGAAUACCGAUGGCGAAGGCAGCCUCCUGGGAUAACACUGACGUUCAUGCCCGAAAGCGUGGGUAGCAAACAGGAUUAGAUAUCCUGGUAGUCCACGCCCUAAACGAUGUCGAUUAGCUGUUGGG